AAGUUAAAGUUUAUUUGUAUUCUUUGUAGUAAUAUCAAUAAAAGACCUCAAACGUAUCUAUAUCUGUACAUGUACAAGAACCAUCAAAAAUUAUUCACAGAACAAAAAUAAAUCUUCUUUAGAACAAACCCAGGUAAUGAAAUGCAGAUAUGGAUCUCACAUACGGAACAAUCUAAGUGCUACCAGCACAAAAAUAUGGCUUUAAAAAUAAAAUAAAAUCUUGGGUUUUGUUUUUCUAAGGUGUAUUUCUCUUUCUUGAAAUAAAAAAUAAAUUAUUUAGAGCUAUUAUUGUAAAAUAGUCAUGUGUGUUAACACAUUCUUAUUAAGGCCCUGGAGAUGAAAAACAAAAUCAAAUUUAGCAGGUAAAUUCCUCACAGGUGUGAUUUAGGUUAGUGUGCUGCUGUCCGCCUGGGUUAAUUUUAAUGUAACUAAGAAAUAUCUAAGCACCAGUCAAAAUGUAACCUUUACUAAUUAUUUCCACUUUUCUGCAGGAUAGUGGUUAUUGAGUCAAUUAGUAUUUAACCUUUUGGUGAACUGGGAACUGAAAUUUCUCCCUUGGGAGUUUAAAAAUGACAAAAAUACAGUAUUUAUACAUGAACAUUUGAACCCCCUCCCACAGAGGAUGGAGGCCCCUAAACCACAGCUUCCUUGGAAAUCUUUUACAACAACAGAUAAAUCUGGUUUUAGGUCCCAAACUAAAACAUUUCCUAGUGAAAAAGGAGGGCAUUUGAAGGAAAAAUGAGACAGGAGUAGGAAAUGAAAAAUGCAGGCUGAGACACAGGCAAAACGGCCACUUUGCUUUCCUGGGGUGGCUUGCUGUGUUUGCCAAGUCUUGCCAGCUUGCUUACUCAAACACCUGAGGAUUAACUGCCCAGGAACCAAAGCUCCUUCUUUCUGGAUCCUACUCUCAGAUCAGUGACAUUCAGCUUUCUUUCUAUGACCCGCAUGGCAUCAGUGAUCCUAUCUAGGAUUCUUGAGACAAUGUCAGACCAAAUCAAUUUCAAGUCACUUUAACUUAUAUAUACAUAUAACAUAUAACACAUAUGGUACAUUUUAAAGAGGAACAGACCAUGGUCAUAACAUCUAACAAGUAAGAGCAUAAAAUCUAAAAAGCUCAAGAAAGUCUGGAAAUCACUGUUCUGCAAGAUGGAUUAGCAUUCAGAAAAAGGAGGCCCUAGGAAUUGUGUUUUAUGUGGGUGCACAUGUGUUGUCUACAGAGACUACCUUUCCACUAAUCUAUGUAUUUUAAGAUCUGACAAACGAUAUAAAUCCCAUUUCCUUGAACCUUUGGGCUAUUGAGAAGGCUGCUGUGCAUUAGUCCCUGUUUGGAUCAUGUAUCUUCCUCACGUUCUUUCAAUCUUCAUAAGGUAUUCUGUCUCAUGCAAAUUUCAUCACUUUUGUCCUUCCUAACCUCAAGGGAAUUCAUAACUGGGUCACGACAAUAAGAUAAUGCUUCUAGAACUAAUAACAAUCACUGGAACAUGGAAAGGGGUUCUAAUUAAAAAUUCGACACACCAACACAUCUCGCUUUUGUAAGACUAGUAAAAUAGGUUCUUCCAAUUGACACAUUGAUAGAAACAAAGUAUCCCAAAUUCUUGGCCCUCAGGUAGAGGGUGGGAAGGCAACUAUUUACUGUUGGGGCAAGCAGCAGAUUUCACACAUGACUUGAGAAGGGGAGGGGGAAUGGAGAAGACCCUUUUAAAGGUUUCCACAAUCUGCAGGAGAAGGUGGCCCCCAUGGGGGUCAUUGACAAUACACUGAAGCAGUGGCACGGACUCAGGAGCUGCUGGGCCAGGCUCAGCAAUAAGUCUAGUCUGGUGUCCAGACUCAGCUCAAGGUCACAUGCGACUAAAGGUAUCCCAAAGAGGAUUCCUUCCUCAAGUUGUCCCACAACCAGCCUUCUCAGGAACUCCGAACUGGAGAUAACUAGAAUUUAAUCAAGGUAGAAGUCAAAGCAAAUACUAAUGCAAACUCACUUGAUGGCUACUGUCUUGCUCUGUGGUUUCUGAAAAAGAACUGCUUCCUACCUCUGAGGACAUAGUCAGAGCUUGGAGCCAGAAGAACCACAGAUCCAUAAACGAAGGCUGAGGUCGAAUAAGAUCUGGAAAGCUUUAAAGUCCAGCUAAUUCUCAAGGUCAUACAGCAGUCAGAGACAGACACUCCUGCUUUUUCUUUCACUGUCCAACACCAUCAUAGGGAAAGGUGGCAGCAGACCAGAGAAAGCGACCUGUGACCAACUUGAUACUGAGUGAACACAAGAAGUUCUAAGAGCACAAUGAGCCCAGUCUAUCACAUUCUCCUUAUGGACAGGCCACCCUGGACUCCGAUGGCACCUUGGUGAGAGCACCUGGAACAUGGGAGAUGCUCAAGGGCUUGUUUUAGUUACUAUGUGUCAUCUCCUACACUGUAUAUACUAUAGAGACUCUGGGAACAUGAGGACCUGAUGGAAAUGUCACUCUUUCUGCUGCUUUGGCCCAGAAAGCCUGUUGCUCAGUGAUACAAAAAGCGAGAAUGAAAGCUCUUUCCUUAAUUCCUAGAUCCCAUCCACAUUGUCUUUGUUAACAGCUAAGUCUGGCCAUCAGCUUAGACAAGCACUUGACAAGCACUACCCCUGAACCCCAAAUUCUGUUUGAUUGCGGUCCAGGCUGCAGCCUGCAGUAUGGUGAUAUGUGGGUGGAAGGGAGAGUCCAAGCCAUGGCUAUCUUAAUCCACCUGCCUUUCUUCCAUUAUGCCCUCUGCUCCACAGAACAUACCCUAUGUAGUUAUUUGGGCUGAAGAGAAGCCAAAUUAAGCAAUACCUCCAUAAAAAUGAUCAGCUGUUUGCUGCAGUCUUCCACACUUAAAAAAAUCUUUCAGAAUAAGUUGUAUAGAUUGCAGCUUCUCUAAAGAAAUACUCAGAAAAAUAUUUGGAUAGGAACAAGGCUCAAAGGAUAAUCUAAUAUAUGUCAACAAAUCUGAACUUCUAGCUUACUUCUAACUUGAUUUUCUUACUCUUUUCUCUGCAUUCAAGAUUAACAUAAUGUUUCCAAACAUUUUGGGCAUUCAGUCUUCCAAAGAAGGCAGCCCUCUAAAGAGCUCCCACAAUGUCAACAAGAUCUAUGCAGCCAUCAAAAGCACAUUUGAUAUUUUUGUGUCUCCCCCAACCUCCCAGUAUAGGUAAGCUUAUCAGGCCUCUGUAACCCAUAACCAUAACUUCAGAGCUUCCAAACCUGAAUGGAGGACAUCAGCCAAGUUACAUACUUUUAAGGCCGCCGAAACCAACUGUUUUACCAGGCUUCUACUGCACAAUGGAAGGCUUUUGCAGAGAAUGGAUUAAAGGUGGCUGGAGCUGGGAAUCGCUCUAAAGGAGGCCAUCUAUGUUUAUACUCCCAGGCCAACAAAGGACGCAACUUUAGCAUUUGUAGGGUGGUUUUCCUAUUAAAGUAAGUGAUCUUGACCAUGAUGUGCCCUAAGCUUAGAGGGAAGAGGUAAGAAUUUGUAAAACCACCACAAAGGGCCAAGAAAAUAACCAAGUGCCAAAAUAGGAGGGCACAAAAACCAGGUAAGCACGAUGAGCAGCCUGUUUCACAUCUCUGACUGGCAGAACGAGAAGAUUAUGUAGGAAGUGUUUCAAAAGGUUGUGGGUUGGGGGCCGUUGGGAGCUUGUAUGAUGCAGAGUCCAAUACAGAGAUCCACCCGAGAGGGGGCAGCACUCAAGAGGUCCAGGCGCCAUGAAAGAGAGGCUGUUCACACAGAUGCCAAGUCUGGGCUUCACCCAAGGAGGACAGGAUCAAUGUUCUCGUUUCCUUACAAUAUUCUAUUAUGUAGAAACACUCACUCUAUGUUUAGGGCUCCCUCAGGUCUUUUUCUUUUUCCUCCUCUCCCUUUUUCCUUUCCUUUCCUUUUUUUUUUUUUUUUUUUCUGAAUUUCCUUAAAGUUUAUAAUUUAAAAUAAACACCAUUAACUCAUUUGAGAAAUGUUGCUUUCUCAGGACAAAGAACUGCUUAGAUCUUGCUUAAAGAGAUUCAAAACCCUUUUAACAUUAUAUCUGACAGCAGAGAAGGCAUGAACUUUUCCUAUUUGUGCAGUUGUAUGUACAUAUGUGUGAGUAUAUAUGUAUAUAUAUUUGUAUAUAUAAUGUCUGUUUUAACACGUAACAUUCUAUAUUUCUGAUAAUCAAGUUUGCUUUCAAGAUGACAUUUCACACCUCUGGAAUAAAGGAAGUAAAUUAGCUUCCACAACUGUUUCUGUCCUACAAUAAAGCCAAAGAUGACAGUUGGUGAAACUGAGUCAUUAUUGCCAAAUCUACGAAGAGCAUGGGAGUAACAACUGGAAUGCAUGGCCCCUGCACUUUCAGUUUUCUUUUUUUGGAAGAGUAAUCAUGACUUUUGAGAGAGCCAUGCUUCUUCAGAUCUGGAUUUCCUUUCCAAAUUUUUGUGAGGGAAUUAGGAGAAGAAGCCAUUUAAAAGCUAAAGACUGAGAUAAAAGUAC
Molecule: long non-coding RNA, 4470 nt
Filed under: Canis lupus familiaris (dog)
Lineage: Eukaryota; Metazoa; Chordata; Mammalia; Carnivora; Canidae
Description: lncRNA (ENSCAFG00845007338.1)
Source: RNAcentral